GAUCCUGGCUCAGAUUGAACGCUGGCGGCAGGCCUAACACAUGCAAGUCGAACGGUAACAGGAAACAGCUUGCUGUUUCGCUGACGAGUGGCGGACGGGUGAGUAAUGUCUGGGAAACUGCCUGAUGGAGGGGGGAUAACUACUGGAAACGGUAGCUAAUAAAGCAUAACGUCGCAAGACCAAAGAGGGGGACCUUCGGCCGUCUUGCCACUCGGAUGUGCCCACGAUGGGAGUUAGCUAGUAGGUGGGGUAACGGG
RNAcentral lists this ribosomal RNA (257 nucleotides) under uncultured bacterium. RNAcentral's name for it is "partial 16S ribosomal RNA". It matches the Rfam family "Bacterial small subunit ribosomal RNA", at positions 15 to 264 of the family's 1533-position model. The record is from RNAcentral.